This 339-nucleotide unclassified non-coding RNA is filed under the name soil metagenome. RNAcentral describes it as "partial contains 5.8S ribosomal RNA, internal transcribed spacer 2, and large subunit ribosomal RNA". The stretch from base 1 to 120 matches the Rfam family "5.8S ribosomal RNA", at positions 35 to 154 of the family's 154-position model. The record is from RNAcentral.
GAUGAAGAACGUAGCGAAAUGUGAUACGUAGUGUGAAUUGCAGAAUUCAGUGAAUCAUCGAAUCUUUGAACGCACAUUGCACCUCUCGGUAUUCCGGGAGGUAUGCCUGUUCGAGCGUCAUUUGUACCCUCAAGCUCUGCUUGGUGUUGGGUGUUUGUUCCGCCUCUGUGUGUGAACUAGCCUCAAAACAAUUGGCAGCCGGCGUACUUGUUUCGGAGCGCAGCACAUUUUGCGAUCCAGAUCAACGUACAGCGGCAUCCAAGAAGCCUUAUUUAACGCUCUUGACCUCGGAUCAGGUAGGGAUACCCGCUGAACUUAAGCAUAUCAAUAAGCGGAGGA